Molecule: small RNA, 107 nt
Filed under: Marmota monax (woodchuck)
Lineage: Eukaryota; Metazoa; Chordata; Mammalia; Rodentia; Sciuridae
Source: RNAcentral
GUUGGGCAUGGUAGUGCAUGCCUGUAACCUCAGCCACUUGGAAGGCUGAGGCAGGAGGAUCACAAGUUAGAGGCCGUCCUGAGCAACUUAAUGAGACCCUGUCUCAA